This 276-nucleotide ribosomal RNA is filed under the name uncultured bacterium. Its description in RNAcentral is "partial 16S ribosomal RNA". It matches the Rfam family "Bacterial small subunit ribosomal RNA", at positions 334 to 627 of the family's 1533-position model. The record is from RNAcentral.
CAGUCCUACGGUAUGCAGCAUUUUUCCCUCUUGCACCCUCGUUUAAACCCUGAUGCAGCGACGCCGCGUGAGCGAUGAAGUAUUUCGGUAUGUAAAGCUCUAUCAGCAGGGAAGAAAAUGACGGUACCUGACUAAGAAGCCCCGGCUAACUACGUGCCAGCAGCCGCGGUAAUACGUAGGGGGCAAGCGUUAUCCGGAUUUACUGGGUGUAAAGGGAGCGUAGACGGCUGUGCAAGCCAGAUGUGAAAGCCCGGGGCUCAACCCCGGGACUGCAUU